Armigeres subalbatus is the source of this 1550-nucleotide long non-coding RNA. RefSeq lists it as uncharacterized. The record is from RefSeq and is a predicted model, not a curated record. NCBI's taxonomy places the organism in Eukaryota, Metazoa, Arthropoda, Insecta, Diptera, Culicidae. The transcript has 4 exons.
CUAUCGUUUGGAACGGUGUUUUUAUUUUUCUUUCUUGUUUAUAUUUAUUUCUUGAUUAAAUGUUUUUUACAAAAUAUUUAAAAUCCACUAAAUAUUAAGAUCUAAAAUCAAUAAAAUAGAGGUGUAUUGUCGCAUGUGAUUGUCCCGUUAUGAUAAAAACCCCGUUUUGUUCACUUUUGUUAGAUAGGUAAGAAAGAAAAGUUGUGCUUGAUGUUUAGACAUUUAGCUGUGCGUCUAUCUGGUGUCCGACAAGUACAUAUGAGCAGCUAUGUUUGGAAGGAGGCAGACAUUACUGCUGUACAAGAAACUGUUGCCAACAUAGCAAGUCACUGUUCAAAGCUCGAUCACCUUGCUGUUUGAAAACAACAACAAAUCAUCUUCCGGGGCAGCAAAGUUGGCUGGAUUUGGCCAACCAGUGGCUCAGGCUUCGCUGUUCGGCCAGUCAAGUCCGGUGGUGGAAUCGACACACCUAGAAGGUCCGAGCAACAACAGAAGUGGAUUGGUUACCAGUCUGCCACAAGGAAUGACCAGCAAAAGCCAAUUUCGCUGCUGUUAAAUAGUAGGACUAUCUUCAGAAGCAGCGGUAAUCUACAUUCGAAUGGAUUCUGGCGGAUUGAUCCUCAAGAUGCUCAGAUGCUCAGAGCCGGAGGACGGUCUAUCGAUUGGCAAAGUAUCAUGACAAGAUACUUCAGACACACUAGCGUAUACAACCGAUCGGGCCAAUUCCCUGUAGUUCACUUGCAGAUAACCGAAAUCAAGUCUUCGGGAUUCGGAUGGUUCGGAUCGCUCCGCCAAAAAAAUUUCUCCCUUAAGGCUCGAUCCAACAUCUUGAGAGCUGGGUGUUGAUUCCAGCGACCCUCAUUUCAAAUUGCCCAAAGGUUCCAAACCGGAGGAUGAAAUCUUCGCACAGAAUUGAGUUUAGUUAUGACGGCUGAACUGGAUGCCCAGAACUAAAUUUAACAUCAGAGAACCAGUCUAGCACCGAUAUUUGAUGCCCCAAGCCCACCUGCGUUCGGUGCAUCCGUUGCCGGCGCGAUAUCUACGGCUAGUGCCUUCGGAGCAUAAUCAAUUUUGGUGCCGAUCCUGGAUCCGAUCGUUGCCGCUAUUUCAAGCGCGCUAUUUAUUAGAUCUUCCAGCCUUUUCGGUGGAGUCAAUUUAACACCGGCAGCAUAAGUACAUGAGAUUCAAAGACGCAUCAUAGCAGGAAAUCGCACACACUUUGGACCGCUCCGAUUAAAUAUAAUUUGCGCCAUAACAAACAACUAUCUACAAAACGCUGAUUAGAUUAUUAAAUUUAUUUUAAAUUUAUAUUUAAUUUACAAUAUAUUUUGUUUCGCAAUAUAUUUCAUUAACAAGAAAAAAUCUACAUUUCUUGUGAGAUACAAAAAAAGAUUUUUAUCAUUACAAAAUAUCAUCACACUUUGUAAUAUCAAUUCAAUAUUACAAAUUAUAAUGGUGUUUUGUAAAGAAGAAAACUUUUUUUUUGCAUCCCACAAGAAAUGUGAUUUUUUUCUAUGUUAAUGAAAUAAAUUGUAAAACACUAAAUUUUA